GUGCUCGCUUUGGCAGCACAUGUGCUAAAAUUGGAACGAUACAGAGAUCAGCAUGGCCCCUGCCCAAGGAUGACAAGCAAAUUUGUGAAGUGUUCCAUGUUUUU
Small nuclear RNA from Kogia breviceps (pygmy sperm whale), 104 nucleotides. Lineage: Eukaryota; Metazoa; Chordata; Mammalia; Artiodactyla; Physeteridae. The record is from RefSeq and is a predicted model, not a curated record.